AUUGAACGCUGGCGGCAGGCCUAACACAUGCAAGUCGAACGGUAGCACAGAGGAGCUUGCUCCUUGGGUGACGAGUGGCGGACGGGUGAGUAAUGUCUGGGAAACUGCCCGAUGGAGGGGGAUAACUACUGGAAACGGUAGCUAAUACCGCAUAACGUCGCAAGACCAAAGAGGGGGACCUUCGGGCCUCUUGCCAUCGGAUGUGCCCAGAUGGGAUUAGCUAGUAGGUGGGGUAACGGCUCACCUAGGCGACGAUCCCUAGCUGGUCUGAGAGGAUGACCAGCCACACUGGAACUGAGACACGGUCCAGACUCCUACGGGAGGCAGCAGUGGGGAAUAUUGCACAAUGGGCGCAAGCCUGAUGCAGCCAUGCCGCGUGUAUGAAGAAGGCCUUCGGGUUGUAAAGUACUUUCAGCGAGGAGGAAGGCGUUGUGGUUAAUAACCGCAACGAUUGACGUUACUCGCAGAACAAGCACCGGCUAACUCCGUGCCAGCCGCCG
Molecule: ribosomal RNA, 500 nt
Filed under: uncultured Enterobacterales bacterium
Lineage: Bacteria; Pseudomonadati; Pseudomonadota; Gammaproteobacteria; Enterobacterales
Description: bacterial SSU rRNA
Rfam family: Bacterial small subunit ribosomal RNA
Source: RNAcentral